This is a long non-coding RNA of Hippoglossus stenolepis (Pacific halibut), 392 nucleotides long. RefSeq lists it as uncharacterized. The record is from RefSeq and is a predicted model, not a curated record. The transcript has 3 exons. NCBI's taxonomy places the organism in Eukaryota, Metazoa, Chordata, Actinopteri, Pleuronectiformes, Pleuronectidae.
UGGAGAGAAGGGGAAUUCAGGGUGUCCAGGACUAUUAGGAACAAAGGGGAAACCAGGAGACUCUGGGAACUUUGGUCUUCCAGGAGUAUGUGGCCCCUGUGGCCCUAAAGGACACUCUGGGCCCCCGGGAUGCAGAGAAAACCUCCAGUGGAAGUCGUCCAGGCAAAUCCCGACCAAAUAUCCGAACCAUCUCAACUGUCUCCAUUCGAUAUGAAGGAGUAGCAGCUCAACACUGAACUCUUCACCCAUGAAACAUGAAGAGAUGAAAACUGAAGAUACUGGAACCUUACUCACAUUAACACAUGACACCUUAACUUCACAGUUUCUUUAUUGUCUGGAAAUUGUUUUAACUUUGACUGGAAACUUGACUAAAUGAACGUCUAUGCUAAGCU